RNAcentral lists this unclassified non-coding RNA (324 nucleotides) under soil metagenome. RNAcentral describes it as "partial contains 5.8S ribosomal RNA, internal transcribed spacer 2, and large subunit ribosomal RNA". The stretch from base 1 to 120 matches the Rfam family "5.8S ribosomal RNA", at positions 35 to 154 of the family's 154-position model. The record is from RNAcentral.
GAUGAAGAACUUAGCGAAAUGCGAUAAGUAGUGUGAAUUGCAGAAUUCAGUGAAUCAUCGAAUCUUUGAACGCACAUUGCGCCCCUUGGUAUUCCAUGGGGCAUGCCUGUUCGAGCGUCAUUUGUACCUUCAAGCUUUGCUUGGUGUUGGGUGUUUGUCCUGAGGGACUCGCCUUAAAGUAAUUGGCAGCCAGUGUUUUGGUUUUGAAGCGCAGCACAAGUCGCGAUUCAAAGCUAUACGCCAGCUUCCACAAGCCUUUUUCACUUUUGACCUCGGAUCAGGUAGGGAUACCCGCUGAACUUAAGCAUAUCAAUAAGCGGAGGA